RNAcentral lists this transfer RNA (65 nucleotides) under Hierodula patellifera. RNAcentral describes it as "tRNA-Gly". The record is from RNAcentral. Lineage: Eukaryota; Metazoa; Arthropoda; Insecta; Mantodea; Mantidae.
AUUUAUUUAAUAUAAAAAGUAUAUUUGAUUUCCAAUCAAAAAGUCUAGUUGUUUUAGAAUAAAUA